This is a non-coding RNA of Pelobates cultripes (western spadefoot toad), 213 nucleotides long. The record is from the annotation of a GenBank genome assembly. Lineage: Eukaryota; Metazoa; Chordata; Amphibia; Anura; Pelobatidae.
CGUGGCUCCCCCGCUCCCAGGGAUGAUUUUCGUCAAUUAUCCCGGCUUUUGUAAGCUAUUGGCCCCGUGGUCUUAGCAGAGCUUCACACGGACGUGUCCAGCUAGCUCCGACCUCAGACCACGCCCCAGUACUCUUGCUUCUAGUCCACAAUGCUUCUUCUAUGAGAAGCAGGGGAUUGGAUGAGAAGUUGAAGAGGAGUCAGUCUGCAAGAA